RNAcentral lists this ribosomal RNA (1353 nucleotides) under Vibrio alginolyticus. RNAcentral's name for it is "bacterial LSU rRNA". It matches the Rfam family "Bacterial large subunit ribosomal RNA", at positions 1591 to 2925 of the family's 2925-position model. Lineage: Bacteria; Pseudomonadati; Pseudomonadota; Gammaproteobacteria; Vibrionales; Vibrionaceae. The record is from RNAcentral.
CAACAAAUGCCCUGCUUCCAGGAAAAGCCUCUAAGCAUCAGGUAACAUCAAAUCGUACCCCAAACCGACACAGGUGGUCAGGUAGAGAAUACCAAGGCGCUUGAGAGAACUCGGGUGAAGGAACUAGGCAAAAUGGUGCCGUAACUUCGGGAGAAGGCACGCUGAUAUGUAGGUGAAGCGACUUGCUCGUGGAGCUGAAAUCAGUCGAAGAUACCAGCUGGCUGCAACUGUUUAUUAAAAACACAGCACUGUGCAAACACGAAAGUGGACGUAUACGGUGUGACGCCUGCCCGGUGCCGGAAGGUUAAUUGAUGGGGUUAGCCGCAAGGCGAAGCUCUUGAUCGAAGCCCCGGUAAACGGCGGCCGUAACUAUAACGGUCCUAAGGUAGCGAAAUUCCUUGUCGGGUAAGUUCCGACCUGCACGAAUGGCGUAAUGAUGGCCAGGCUGUCUCCACCCGAGACUCAGUGAAAUUGAACUCGCUGUGAAGAUGCAGUGUACCCGCGGCAAGACGGAAAGACCCCGUGAACCUUUACUAUAGCUUGACACUGAACAUUGAGCCUUGAUGUGUAGGAUAGGUGGGAGGCUUUGAAGUGUGGACGCCAGUCUGCAUGGAGCCGACCUUGAAAUACCACCCUUUAAUGUUUGAUGUUCUAACGUUGACCCGUAAUCCGGGUUGCGGACAGUGUCUGGUGGGUAGUUUGACUGGGGCGGUCUCCUCCUAAAGAGUAACGGAGGAGCACGAAGGUUGGCUAAUCCUGGUCGGACAUCAGGAGGUUAGUGCAAUGGCAUAAGCCAGCUUGACUGCGAGCGUGACGGCGCGAGCAGGUGCGAAAGCAGGUCAUAGUGAUCCGGUGGUUCUGAAUGGAAGGGCCAUCGCUCAACGGAUAAAAGGUACUCCGGGGAUAACAGGCUGAUACCGCCCAAGAGUUCAUAUCGACGGCGGUGUUUGGCACCUCGAUGUCGGCUCAUCACAUCCUGGGGCUGAAGUAGGUCCCAAGGGUAUGGCUGUUCGCCAUUUAAAGUGGUACGCGAGCUGGGUUUAGAACGUCGUGAGACAGUUCGGUCCCUAUCUGCCGUGGGCGCUGGAGAACUGAGGGGGGCUGCUCCUAGUACGAGAGGACCGGAGUGGACGCAUCACUGGUGUUCGGGUUGUCAUGCCAAUGGCACUGCCCGGUAGCUAAAUGCGGAAGAGAUAAGUGCUGAAAGCAUCUAAGCACGAAACUUGCCCCGAGAUGAGUUCUCCCUGACUCCUUGAGAGUCCUGAAGGAACGUUGAAGACGACGACGUUGAUAGGCCGGGUGUGUAAGCGCAGCGAUGCGUUGAGCUAACCGGUACUAAUGAACCGUGUCUCC